This 253-nucleotide ribosomal RNA is filed under the name uncultured bacterium. RNAcentral describes it as "partial 16S ribosomal RNA". It matches the Rfam family "Bacterial small subunit ribosomal RNA", at positions 524 to 776 of the family's 1533-position model. The record is from RNAcentral.
UACGUAGGUGGCAAGCGUUGUUCGGAAUUAUUGGGCGUAAAGGGCGCGUAGGCGGUUUGUUAAGUCGGUCGUGAAAGCCCGGGGCUCAACCCCGGAGGGUCGACCGAUACUGGCAGACUAGAGUACAGAAGAGGUAACUGGAAUUCCUGGUGUAGCGGUGAAAUGCGCAGAUAUCAGGAAGAACACCCGUGGCGAAGGCGGUUCUCUGGGACGGUACUGACGCUGAGACGCGAAAGCGUGGGGAGCGAACAGG